RNAcentral lists this transfer RNA (85 nucleotides) under Felis catus (domestic cat). It matches the Rfam family "tRNA". Rfam says of the family: Transfer RNA (tRNA) molecules are approximately 80 nucleotides in length. The record is from Rfam by way of RNAcentral. Lineage: Eukaryota; Metazoa; Chordata; Mammalia; Carnivora; Felidae.
GCCUGGGUGGCUCAGUCGGUUGAGCAUCCGACUUUGGCUCAGGUCAUGAUCUCACAGCUUGUGAGUUCAAGCCCCGCUUUGGGCU